GCGCCAAUAGCUCAGCUGGAUAGAGCAACGGCCUUCUAAGCCGUAGGCCGCAGGUUCGAAUCCUGCUUGGCGCA
RNAcentral lists this transfer RNA (74 nucleotides) under Candidatus Electronema aureum. It matches the Rfam family "tRNA". From Rfam's summary of the family: Transfer RNA (tRNA) molecules are approximately 80 nucleotides in length. Their secondary structure includes four short double-helical elements and three loops (D, anti-codon, and T loops). The record is from Rfam by way of RNAcentral. Lineage: Bacteria; Pseudomonadati; Thermodesulfobacteriota; Desulfobulbia; Desulfobulbales; Desulfobulbaceae.